This is a long non-coding RNA of Pezoporus flaviventris, 909 nucleotides long. RefSeq lists it as uncharacterized. The transcript is spliced from 3 exons. Lineage: Eukaryota; Metazoa; Chordata; Aves; Psittaciformes; Psittacidae. The record is from RefSeq and is a predicted model, not a curated record.
UCUUUUGGUGAACCAUUUAACCUGGCUGCUGUGUUUGGUUAAACUAUGUAUGAUGCACCUACGUAUUUAAACAAGGUAACCCAUGCCAAACCACACACCAUCAGCGAUUAGAUUCCAUGAAGGAUAAAAUCUAGCUGUAGUAUUACAACUUUGAUGAGUCAACUGCUUCUUGCUGAUACAUAUCAAGUGGUUAAAGGAACAAAUAUCUGUUUUAUAGAUGGAGGAAUGGAUGGCUUGGGGGCAGGAGUGUAGAGGACUCUCCAGUGUUGAGAGACACUUCUGUGCAGAUGCUGCAAAGAAAUCCAACAGUGCAUAUUGGUUUCAAGGGAUAUAUAUGUGCUGUUCACCUUCCCUUUUAAUUUAAACUUAUUUAACCUGCUAUAAGAUGUUCUCCCUGCUUUAAUAGAUCUUGUUUUUCUAGCAAUUACUGUCAUUUAGGUAAUAUCACACAGAUGUGCUCAAGGAACACAAACUUGUAAGAAACACCGCAGAAUUUCUGGCACUAUUUCUUUCAUUCAGUCUAAUUUCAGAGGCAGAAGGAGCCAGCUGGCUGAAUUGUCUUGAAGGCGGACACAGGAAAAGCAGCCGAUAGACUGAAAUACAGAUGAAAUCACCUUUAAGCACAAAGAAGAACUUACUGCCAAUCAGGAGAUAGAUAACAUACAGGUGGAUGUGUGUGUACAUACAGACAGCACCUCAUGAGAUUAACUGCCCUGAGGAAAUGCUCUCUCCAUGGAAACUUUGCCCAAGAAAACAUGUUUUGUCUUGUACCUACUAUACUAAUAUCUGCAUGACAUUCACUGUCAUAGGAACAUGAACUCCUACAGAGAUGAAGACUACAUCUAAUUGACAGUGAGAGAAUUGUUCUUGCAAGCAAAGUUAGAAAACAAAGUACUGAACUCAAUUUGG